Small nuclear RNA from Rhinolophus ferrumequinum (greater horseshoe bat), 107 nucleotides. The record is from Ensembl. NCBI's taxonomy places the organism in Eukaryota, Metazoa, Chordata, Mammalia, Chiroptera, Rhinolophidae.
GUGCUCGUUUCAACAGCAAACAUACUAAAAAUUGAACAAUACAGAGAAGAUUAGUAUGGCCCCUCUGCAAGGAUGAGAUGCAAAAUCAUGAAGUGUUCCAUAUUUUU